CCGUUGUCCCGCGUCGACGGGCCAGGCACUGCACGCGUGUCCCUGGGCUAGGAAAAGGGUCUAGUACCUAUAGAACGCACCCGAGUAGCGCCAAAAUUAAGUCAAAAUCAGUGGUGGACCGAACGACCAGGUACGUGCCUUCGACAACCUAGCAACUUGGAAGAAGAAGAAGAAGAAGAAGAAGAAGAAGGAAACCCAACACCGUCCCCUAUCCUCUUCUCUCUCUCUCUGUGUCUCUCCGUCCGCGCGGUACAGUUACGGCACCCGCUACUGGCACAGGCAGAACCUGUACCACACCCUCCAGGACCGCCACACCCACAGCAGGACGGAGCGGCCGCGGUGGCGGCAGCGCGCGCGGAAGGCCUGUCCCCUGGAGCAGCCUAGGAAGGCCGGGCCGUAGACUGCGAGGAGCGACAGAGGGAAGGACGUCUAGCUAGCUAGGGCAGCGACGCCGCGACGAAGGUAGCAGCUAGUUCGCGCCUCGAGAACUAGGUAGUUCAGCGACGUUGUCGUAGUAACAAAAACAAAUCAUAUCAAAACACACACAGAUAAUAGUGCGCCACCGUCACAUUGUAACCUGCUGUAAUAAGAAGAAGAUAAAGAUAAGAAAGUAACUACAUGUAUUGUUAAUUAUUAUGACCACCACUAGAACUUUUACUCACCUUACCAA
This 670-nucleotide ribosomal RNA is filed under the name Triticum aestivum (bread wheat). Its description in RNAcentral is "partial small subunit ribosomal RNA". The record is from RNAcentral. Lineage: Eukaryota; Viridiplantae; Streptophyta; Magnoliopsida; Poales; Poaceae.